UCUAAGUACAAACUACGCAAAACAACUCAACGGACUUCCUGACGGAGACCUGGAAAUGUGAUUUCCGUCAUGGACCCAUCUUGCUAGAGUCAAAAAGGUAAAAUCCUAUGCCAUUGUGUAGCUCUCGGAAAGAGCUUUCUGGAAUGGUAUGACACGCUUCCAUCGGACUCCCGGAUUGAAAGUUAUGAAGGUUCGAGCGGACAAUGCAUUGUUCGAGUGUACAUACUUCGAAACGGCGGGACACACAUGGCCCGGGGCACCCGGGGCAGCCGCAGAUAGACCCGUGGCUCCCCCUUCUAUAAAUAGAGGGCUUGGGGUGGCCAUUUUAAGAAGGAGAAAGACGAGGAAGCCCUGUCCAUUUUGCUUUGUACACACUUUAAACUGAGUGUUUUCUUUUUCUAAGUACUUGUGAGCUCGUGUUUUGCUAUAUUUAAUUGGUGGAAAGCGAGUAUUCAUUCAUUAAAAGCUAUCUGAAGUCUUCUUGGCAGCCCACUAUAAGACAUCUUAGAUUUCUUAAGCCUUUUCUCACUUCCAUCCAUAUAUACUUAUUCACG
This 554-nucleotide long non-coding RNA is filed under the name Panax ginseng (ginseng). RNAcentral describes it as "long non-coding RNA (PGIN_LNC015671)". Lineage: Eukaryota; Viridiplantae; Streptophyta; Magnoliopsida; Apiales; Araliaceae. The record is from RNAcentral.